RNAcentral lists this ribosomal RNA (492 nucleotides) under uncultured bacterium. Its description in RNAcentral is "partial 16S ribosomal RNA". It matches the Rfam family "Bacterial small subunit ribosomal RNA", at positions 29 to 507 of the family's 1533-position model. The record is from RNAcentral.
AGUGAACGCUGGCGGUAGGCCUAACACAUGCAAGUCGAACGGCAGCACAGUAAGAGCUUGCUCUUACGGGUGGCGAGUGGCGGACGGGUGAGGAAUACAUCGGAAUCUACUUUUUCGUGGGGGAUAACGUAGGGAAACUUACGCUAAUACCGCAUACGACCUACGGGUGAAAGCAGGGGAUCUUCGGACCUUGCGCGAUUGAAUGAGCCGAUGUCGGAUUAGCUAGUUGGCGGGGUAAAGGCCCACCAAGGCGACGAUCCGUAGCUGGUCUGAGAGGAUGAUCAGCCACACUGGAACUGAGACACGGUCCAGACUACUACGGGAGGCAGCAGUGGGGAAUAUUGGACAAUGGGCGCAAGCCUGAUCCAGCCAUACCGCGUGGGUGGAGAAGGCCUUCGGGUUGUAAAGCCCUUUUGUUGGGAAAGAAAAGCAGCAGGUUAAUACCCCGCUGUUCUGACGGUACCCAAAGAAUAAGCACCGGCUAACUUCGUG